GGGGAUGACCGGCCUAGACAGGCGGUUCCCUCUUGUAGGUGCUAUGCCGAGAAUGCUCGAGAUCUCGUUAACCCUCGAGCACCAACCUAGUUGCAAAAAACAACCUCGUUGCAAAAGUAAAGGCAUCAGUUUCUCCGUAUUUUACGGCGAACGCAUUUACUCCUGUUUACGCUUUAGCCUAAACAGCAUUCGCGCUCAGUACGCCUUCUAGGGAGUCGCGGGUGAUAUAAAAAGAGGGCUCAUCGCUUUAAAUGACUCUACAAAGUGAAAAACCAUAGAGUAUCGACAAUGUAUAAUUUAGAGCAUUUUUGAUAUACAUUAUUUAAAACAAACAGAAAUGUUCUACGCAUAGUAGAUUCCCACAAGAGCAUCGUCUGCACGGGGGUUCGAUUCCCCCCAUCUCCACUC
This 408-nucleotide transfer-messenger RNA is filed under the name Candidatus Yonathbacteria bacterium CG17_big_fil_post_rev_8_21_14_2_50_43_9. It matches the Rfam family "transfer-messenger RNA". Rfam says of the family: Bacterial tmRNA, also known as 10Sa RNA or SsrA, is named for its dual tRNA and mRNA-like properties. Its role is to liberate the mRNA from a stalled ribosome. To accomplish this part of the tmRNA is used as a reading frame that ends in a translation stop signal. RNAcentral also lists the same sequence under 1 other name. The record is from RNAcentral. Lineage: Bacteria; Candidatus Yonathiibacteriota.